CCACGGGAGGCAGCAGUGAGGAAUAUUGGUCAAUGGACGAGAGUCUGAACCAGCCAAGUAGCGUGAAGGAUGACUGCCCUAUGGGUUGUAAACUUCUUUUAUAUGGGAAUAAAAUGUUCCACGUGUGGGAUUUUGUAUGUACCAUAUGAAUAAGGAUCGGCUAACUCCGUUCCAGCAGCCGCGGUAAUACGGAGGAUCCGAGCGUUAUCCGGAUUUAUUGGGUUUAAAGGGUGCGUAGGCGGAAUGCCAAGUCAGCGGUAAAAUCGCGGGGCUCAACCUCGCUCCGCCGUUGAACCUGGCGUUCUUGAGUGGGCGAGAAGUAUGCGGAAUGCGUGGUGUAGCGGUGAAAUGCAUAGAUAUCACGCAGAACUCCGAUUGCGAAGGCAGCUUACCAAGCUACUUCUGACGUUGAGGCACGAAAGCGUGGGGAGCAAACAGGAUUAGAUACCCGGGUAGUC
Molecule: ribosomal RNA, 458 nt
Filed under: uncultured bacterium
Lineage: Bacteria
Description: partial 16S ribosomal RNA
Rfam family: Bacterial small subunit ribosomal RNA
Source: RNAcentral